Molecule: long non-coding RNA, 295 nt
Organism: Branchiostoma belcheri (Belcher's lancelet)
Lineage: Eukaryota; Metazoa; Chordata; Leptocardii; Amphioxiformes; Branchiostomatidae
Exons: 3
Source: RefSeq, a predicted model, not a curated record
CUACAUCAGAGAGCAUCUCUUUGGAGCCUCACAAAUUGCAGAAUUCUGAGCUCCAUCCUCCUCGGUAAUCUGCAGCAUGUGAAAGGUCAUUGACGUGAGAACGGCGAACGGAAGCCCAGUAUUAACCCACCUGCUGUUGCCCUGGACGACAACAUCUCUUCACACUAAUUAUUCUGAAUGAAGUCAAUAUGUCGGGACUUCAAAGGAGGAUGACGGACGCCUUGCACAGGCCGGAUCCGGAACGGAACGUCCCCGACGGCACGCGGUUGAAUCCGGCAUAGAUGUAAUAGUCCAC